GCCGCGGGGCAUUGUGGGGCGGUGGAGGACCCGGUGCCCGCGGUGCGGCCCCGCGGCAGCGCCCGCCCCCCUCGGCCCUUCCGGCUGCGGCGGCCCGGCCCGGUCCCGCUGUAGGCCGCGGCCGUUCUCAGCCCGGAGGCGGAGGCUGCGAGACGCCCAGCAGAUGAGCGUUGCUCCUUGUUCCUGCUCUGCGGUGGUGGAGGUGCAGCCAUUCCUCUGCAGCUGAGAGCCGUCCUACACAGACACCAGGACGUCAGAAUCGGAGUCACAGCGCGCUGCUGUGAGUCUCAGAGGCAGGAAGACUCGAGUUCCCCUAUCCAGCGCUUCACACGAGGCACUGAGCUGUUCUUCAUGUCCUCGGGCUGCGAGCGCGAGAUGGAUGCUGCGCGCUGGGAGGUGCUCGAGUCACCUCAGGCUGCUUUGAAUACAGGGUGCUGCGUGCUACGGGCUGCUGCUUUGGUUACCGUCCCCUGAGCACAGUCACAAUUUAAAGGCCAAAAGAUGCUGUAGAAGUUUCCACCACUUGCCAAAAAGGAAAAGAAAAAAAAAAGUAACAACAUGUACAUCCAUCCUCUGGA
Molecule: long non-coding RNA, 578 nt
Organism: Numida meleagris (helmeted guineafowl)
Lineage: Eukaryota; Metazoa; Chordata; Aves; Galliformes; Numididae
Exons: 2
Source: RefSeq, a predicted model, not a curated record